This 521-nucleotide ribosomal RNA is filed under the name uncultured bacterium. RNAcentral describes it as "bacterial SSU rRNA". It matches the Rfam family "Bacterial small subunit ribosomal RNA", at positions 8 to 518 of the family's 1533-position model. The record is from RNAcentral.
AGAGUUGAUCAUGGCUCAGGAUGAACGCUAGCUACAGGCUUAACACAUGCAAGUCGAGGGGCAGCAGAUCGAUAGCUUGCUAUUGAUGCUGGCGACCGGCGCACGGGUGAGUAACGCGUAUCCAACCUUCCCUAUAGUAGAGGAUAGCCCGGCGAAAGUCGGAUUAAUACUCUAUGUUUUCCAAUGCAGACAUCUAAGUUGGAACAAAGGUUCACCGCUAUAGGAUGGGGAUGCGUCUGAUUAGGUUGUUGGCGGGGUAACGGCCCACCAAGCCGACGAUCAGUAGGGGUUCUGAGAGGAAGGUCCCCCACAUUGGAACUGAGACACGGUCCAAACUCCUACGGGAGGCAGCAGUGAGGAAUAUUGGUCAAUGGGCGAGAGCCUGAACCAGCCAAAGUAGCGUGCAGGAUGACGGCCCUAUGGGUUGUAAACUGCUUUUAUACGGGGAUAAAGUGAGGGACGUGUCCCUUUUUGUAGGUACCGUAUGAAUAAGGACCGGCUAAUUCCGUGCCAGCCGCUGC